This 67-nucleotide transfer RNA is filed under the name Latilactobacillus sakei. It matches the Rfam family "tRNA". Rfam says of the family: Transfer RNA (tRNA) molecules are approximately 80 nucleotides in length. Their secondary structure includes four short double-helical elements and three loops (D, anti-codon, and T loops). RNAcentral also lists the same sequence under 4 other names. Lineage: Bacteria; Bacillati; Bacillota; Bacilli; Lactobacillales; Lactobacillaceae. The record is from RNAcentral.
GGAUAUAGUUUAAAGGUAGAACUACGGUCUCCAAAACCGUCAGUGUGGGUUCAAUUCCUACUAUCCC